This 736-nucleotide unclassified non-coding RNA is filed under the name Hevea brasiliensis (rubber tree). Lineage: Eukaryota; Viridiplantae; Streptophyta; Magnoliopsida; Malpighiales; Euphorbiaceae. The record is from RNAcentral.
GACAAUAUAUCAUCAAUUCCACUAACAAAAUAUGACAAUUCCAUGUUGAGCAAGUAUCCGUCACUGUGAAUCCAAGUACAAAAAGCUUUUUGGCAUAGCCAGGCGAGUUAGAGGGUUAACUUAAGAGAUUAAUUACAUUUUUCUUUUCAUCACAAGUAGCUAAAUGUGUAUUAUCCAUGCAACCGUAGGCAUUCUCUUCUGCAGCCUCAGGUGCGACCACUAGCUUGUUAGUAUAUAUGAUAAUUUUCAGGAUGCUGUUGCAGAAUCCCUUUAGUACAAUUGCUACCAACAGCAUUGGUUAUUGCUGGAGGCUUCAGAUGGAACUGCUCACCAACAUGAGGCAGAAAGGAAGACCCAGGCUUCAGAGAUGUUGCAGGAAUGGAGACAUCAUCAUCCUUAUUAGCAACAUGCCUAUCCUCAGUCAACUGGAAACCAAAUAGUCUGCAGCUGCUUUUACAUGAAGUCACUAUAUCAUGACCACCCCUAAAUGUUGAUUGAGCUAUGCCAUGUUGAAUAUGGUCACGAGAUACACCAAACGAACUGAUGCCCCACUGAUCAUCCCUUCUGCAAAUAUGCUCAGAAUGUGAGGACAUGCGCUUUCCAUCACAUGUUUCAGAAUUACGAAACCAACUUUGAAUGCCAAUGCCUUGCUCCUCGUGAUCACUUAAAUUGUAAGCAGGACUUGGGUUUGAAAUUGGGUUGCAUGCUUGCUGGAACAUUAACACUGAUGAAGGGG